Molecule: ribosomal RNA, 253 nt
Filed under: uncultured bacterium
Lineage: Bacteria
Description: partial 16S ribosomal RNA
Rfam family: Bacterial small subunit ribosomal RNA
Source: RNAcentral
UACGAAGGGGGCUAGCGUUGCUCGGAAUCACUGGGCGUAAAGCGCACGUAGGCGGACUCUUAAGUCGGUGGUGAAAUCCUGGAGCUCAACUCCAGAACUGCCUUCGAUACUGGGGAUCUCGAGUCCGGAAGAGGUUGGUGGAACUGCGAGUGUAGAGGUGAAAUUCGUAGAUAUUCGCAAGAACACCAGUGGCGAAGGCGGCCAACUGGUCCGGUACUGACGCUGAGGUGCGAAAGCGUGGGGAGCAAACAGG